GUGUGUGUGUGUGUGUGCGUAUGUGUGUUUCUGUGCGUGUGUAUGUAUGUGUGAGAGAGAGGGGGUGGUGAGGAGGGAGAAGGGAGGAAGACUGGACAGGAAUCGGGGGAGAGAGAACAAGUGGAAAGUCCCUGGAGACACUUCUGGUUUCUCCCCCGCCCAGCUCCCAGCCCUGUGGAUGCUGCCUUCCCCAGGAAGGCUGGGGAGGAAGAGAUGUAUGUACAGGGGAGCUUCCAGGACUGCUCCCUCCCAGGACUAUACUUUAGGAGAAAGGAAGCCCUUGCUCAACAGCUCCUCUUUGGCUAUUAAGUGCAUCGACUGCCAUGGCCAGCUAGGCCUGGCCCCUGAGCCUAGCCCCUGGGGCCAUCAAAGAGGUGCUCAUCCUCCCACUUACUGUCUCCAUGAUUUGAUCUUCUCAUCUCUCCUUUCUUCCUCAUUUGUGAAAUGGGUAUCCUGCUCCUCCUUCUGCUUCCUGGGAAAGUCUGUUCCCUGC
RNAcentral lists this long non-coding RNA (493 nucleotides) under Marmota monax (woodchuck). Lineage: Eukaryota; Metazoa; Chordata; Mammalia; Rodentia; Sciuridae. The record is from RNAcentral.